RNAcentral lists this ribosomal RNA (374 nucleotides) under uncultured organism. Its description in RNAcentral is "partial 16S ribosomal RNA". It matches the Rfam family "Bacterial small subunit ribosomal RNA", at positions 527 to 896 of the family's 1533-position model. The record is from RNAcentral.
GUAGGUGGCAAGCGUUGUCCGGAAUUAUUGGGCGUAAAGCGCGCGCAGGCGGUUUCUUUAAGUCUGAUGUGAAAGCCCACGGCUCAACCGUGGAGGGUCAUUGGAAACUGGAGAACUUGAGUACAGAAGAGGAAAGCGGAAUUCCACGUGUAGCGGUGAAAUGCGUAGAGAUGUGGAGGAACACCAGUGGCGAAGGCGGCUUUUCUGGUCUGUAACUGACGCUGAGGCGCGAAAGCGUGGGGAGCAAACAGGGAUUAGAUACCCUGGUAGUCCACGCCGUAAACGAUGAGUGCUAAGUGUUAGGGGGUUUCCGCCCCCUUAGUGCUGCAGCUAACGCAUUAAGCACUCCGCCUGGGGAUACGGCCGCAAGGCUG